This 422-nucleotide ribosomal RNA is filed under the name uncultured eukaryote. RNAcentral's name for it is "bacterial SSU rRNA". It matches the Rfam family "Eukaryotic small subunit ribosomal RNA", at positions 592 to 1018 of the family's 1831-position model. The record is from RNAcentral.
CAAUAGCGUAUAUUAAAGUUGUUGCGGUUAAAAAGCUCGUAGUUGGAUUUCUGUCUGAGGCGGCCGGUCCACUUUCUGAGUGAGCAUCUGGUCCGCUUUGGGCAUCCUCCUGGGGAACGUUUCCGCGCUUGAUUGUGUGGUACGGAAUCUAGGACUUUUACUUUGAGGAAAUUAGAGUGUUCACUGCAGGCAUACGCCUUGAAUACGUUAGCAUGGAAUAAUGGAAUAGGACUUUGGUUCUAUUUUGUUGGUUUCUAGGACCGAAGUAAUGAUUAAUAGGGACAGUUGGGGGCAUUAGUAUUUAAUUGUCAGAGGUGAAAUUCUUGGAUUUAUGAAAGACUAACUACUGCGAAAGCAUUUGCCAAGGAUGUUUUCAUUAAUCAAGAACGAAAGUUAGGGGAUCGAAGAUGAUCAGAUACCGU